Molecule: ribosomal RNA, 1556 nt
Filed under: Escherichia coli
Lineage: Bacteria; Pseudomonadati; Pseudomonadota; Gammaproteobacteria; Enterobacterales; Enterobacteriaceae
Description: bacterial SSU rRNA
Rfam family: Bacterial small subunit ribosomal RNA
Source: RNAcentral
UUAAAUUGAAGAGUUUGAUCAUGGCUCAGAUUGAACGCUGGCGGCAGGCCUAACACAUGCAAGUCGAACGGUAACAGGAAUCAGCUUGCUGAUUCGCUGACGAGUGGCGGACGGGUGAGUAAUGUCUGGGAAACUGCCUGAUGGAGGGGGAUAACUACUGGAAACGGUAGCUAAUACCGCAUAACGUCGCAAGACCAAAGAGGGGGACCUUCGGGCCUCUUGCCAUCAGAUGUGCCCAGAUGGGAUUAGCUAGUAGGUGGGGUAACGGCUCACCUAGGCGACGAUCCCUAGCUGGUCUGAGAGGAUGACCAGCCACACUGGAACUGAGACACGGUCCAGACUCCUACGGGAGGCAGCAGUGGGGAAUAUUGCACAAUGGGCGCAAGCCUGAUGCAGCCAUGCCGCGUGUAUGAAGAAGGCCUUCGGGUUGUAAAGUACUUUCAGCGGGGAGGAAGGGAGUAAAGUUAAUACCUUUGCUCAUUGACGUUACCCGCAGAAGAAGCACCGGCUAACUCCGUGCCAGCAGCCGCGGUAAUACGGAGGGUGCAAGCGUUAAUCGGAAUUACUGGGCGUAAAGCGCACGCAGGCGGUUUGUUAAGUCAGAUGUGAAAUCCCCGGGCUCAACCUGGGAACUGCAUCUGAUACUGGCAAGCUUGAGUCUCGUAGAGGGGGGUAGAAUUCCAGGUGUAGCGGUGAAAUGCGUAGAGAUCUGGAGGAAUACCGGUGGCGAAGGCGGCCCCCUGGACGAAGACUGACGCUCAGGUGCGAAAGCGUGGGGAGCAAACAGGAUUAGAUACCCUGGUAGUCCACGCCGUAAACGAUGUCGACUUGGAGGUUGUGCCCUUGAGGCGUGGCUUCCGGAGCUAACGCGUUAAGUCGACCGCCUGGGGAGUACGGCCGCAAGGUUAAAACUCAAAUGAAUUGACGGGGGCCCGCACAAGCGGUGGAGCAUGUGGUUUAAUUCGAUGCAACGCGAAGAACCUUACCUGGUCUUGACAUCCACGGAAGUUUUCAGAGAUGAGAAUGUGCCUUCGGGAACCGUGAGACAGGUGCUGCAUGGCUGUCGUCAGCUCGUGUUGUGAAAUGUUGGGUUAAGUCCCGCAACGAGCGCAACCCUUAUCCUUUGUUGCCAGCGGUCCGGCCGGGAACUCAAAGGAGACUGCCAGUGAUAAACUGGAGGAAGGUGGGGAUGACGUCAAGUCAUCAUGGCCCUUACGACCAGGGCUACACACGUGCUACAAUGGCGCAUACAAAGAGAAGCGACCUCGCGAGAGCAAGCGGACCUCAUAAAGUGCGUCGUAGUCCGGAUUGGAGUCUGCAACUCGACUCCAUGAAGUCGGAAUCGCUAGUAAUCGUGGAUCAGAAUGCCACGGUGAAUACGUUCCCGGGCCUUGUACACACCGCCCGUCACACCAUGGGAGUGGGUUGCAAAAGAAGUAGGUAGCUUAACCUUCGGGAGGGCGCUUACCACUUUGUGAUUCAUGACUGGGGUGAAGUCGUAACAAGGUAACCGUAGGGGAACCUGCGGUUGGAUCACCUCCUUACCUUAAAGAAGC